CUUCUGCUAACUCGUUAAACUGGCGGAGCACACACAAGUGCCGAAAAUGACUUUGCACUCGCAGCCUAAAUAGAGCUGCGACGGCUCCUUAAAUCCUGCCCGUGGAUUUAAAUGAGGCGACAACUAUACGGGCUGGUCUGAAGGUGGUGCCUGAGGCGCCUGACGACGAGACUUCACUUUGGGCUGGCGGCGAAAACCCUGUCUAUUGGUAACUUCGUUGCGAGAUUCAACAAUAGAAUAAGCAUGUAGAGGCCUUGUGAGUCUCUUUCUCGGACCCGGGUUCGAUUCCCGGCGCCUCCACCA
RNAcentral lists this transfer-messenger RNA (303 nucleotides) under Candidatus Dadabacteria bacterium. RNAcentral describes it as "partial transfer-messenger RNA". It matches the Rfam family "transfer-messenger RNA", at positions 55 to 374 of the family's 374-position model. Rfam says of the family: Bacterial tmRNA, also known as 10Sa RNA or SsrA, is named for its dual tRNA and mRNA-like properties. Its role is to liberate the mRNA from a stalled ribosome. Lineage: Bacteria; Pseudomonadati; Thermodesulfobacteriota; Candidatus Dadabacteria. The record is from RNAcentral.